Molecule: ribosomal RNA, 435 nt
Filed under: uncultured bacterium
Lineage: Bacteria
Description: partial 16S ribosomal RNA
Rfam family: Bacterial small subunit ribosomal RNA
Source: RNAcentral
AGCGAACGCUGGCGGCAGGCUUAACACAUGCAAGUCGAGCGGGCACUUUCGGGUGUCAGCGGCGGACGGGUGAGUAACGCGUGGGAACGUGCCCUCUGGUUCGGAAUAACUCAGGGAAACUUGAGCUAAUACCGGAUACGCCCUUUUGGGGAAAGGCUUGCUGCCGGAGGAUCGGCCCGCGUCUGAUUAGCUAGUUGGUGAGGUAACGGCUCACCAAGGCGACGAUCAGUAGCUGGUCUGAGAGGAUGAUCAGCCACACUGAGACUGAGACACGGCCCAGACUCCUACGGGAGGCAGCAGUGGGGAAUAUUGGACAAUGGGCGCAAGCCUGAUCCAGCCAUGCCGCGUGAGUGAUGAAGGCCUUAGGGUUGUAAAGCUCUUUUAUCCGGGACGAUAAUGACGGUACCGGAGGAAUAAGCCCCGGCUAACUUCGUG